Molecule: non-coding RNA, 103 nt
Filed under: Bathycoccus prasinos
Lineage: Eukaryota; Viridiplantae; Chlorophyta; Mamiellophyceae; Mamiellales; Bathycoccaceae
Source: RNAcentral
UUCGUCGUCUGCCUAAAUGACGCGUGGUGCGGUGAAUAUCCCGCGCUUGCGCUGCCGUUACGCUCGUACUCGCAAAACUCAUCAUCGUUCACUUCCUUAGUUU